Molecule: ribosomal RNA, 403 nt
Filed under: uncultured bacterium
Lineage: Bacteria
Description: partial 16S ribosomal RNA
Rfam family: Bacterial small subunit ribosomal RNA
Source: RNAcentral
GACGAACGCUGGCGGCGUGCCUAAUACAUGCAAGUCGAACGCAGUGGGGUCGGGUGAGCAACACGUGGGUAACCUCCCAUCAGAGGGGAUAACACUUGGAAACAGGUGCUAAACCGAUACUGAUGGAUGGACCCGGGGUGCAUUAGCUAGUUGGUGGGGUAACGGCUCACCAAGGCCACGAUGCAUAGCCGGCCUGGUAGGGUGAGCGGCCACACUGGGACUGAGGCACGGCCCAGACUCCUACGGGAGGCAGCGGGGGGGAAUCGUCGGCAAUGGACGAAAGUCUGACCGAGCAACGCCGCGUGAGUGAAGAAGGUUUUCGGAUCGUAAAACUCUGUUGUUAGAGAAGCGGUAUCUAACGAGAAAGCCACGGCUAACUACGUGCCAGCAGCCGCGGUAAUAC